Molecule: long non-coding RNA, 511 nt
Filed under: Volvox carteri
Lineage: Eukaryota; Viridiplantae; Chlorophyta; Chlorophyceae; Chlamydomonadales; Volvocaceae
Description: long non-coding RNA (VCAR_LNC002322)
Source: RNAcentral
CCAGGUGGUCUUGGGGGGGAUGUGCGGGGUUUCCAUAAAUCGCAUCAGGCGCCGUCGUACGCCGGACCAACGAUGCAUCAUAACAUCAACUAGUUGCUAGAAAGGCGGCGGGGAAAGGAGCAUCCAUACGCGCACGCAAUUAGACCCCCGCCGUGAGAUGCGUCGGUGGCUGUGAGGCAGGUGGGGACAUGCCUGGGAGGCUGAAAGGGCUUCCGGACGCAUAAAUCGCAUCAGGCACCGUCGUACGCCGGACCAACGAUGCAUCAUAUCAUCAACUAGUUACUAGAAAGGCGGCGGGGAAAGGAGCAUCCAUACGCGCACGCAAUUAGACCCCCGCCGUGAGAUGCGUCGGUGGCUGUGAGGCAGGUGGGGACAUGCCUGGAGGCUGAAAGGGCUUCCGGACGCAUAAAUCGCAUCAGGCGCCGUCGUACGCCGGACCAACGAUGCAUCAUAACAUCAACUAGUUGCUAGAAAGGCGGCGGGGAAAGGAGCAUCCAUACGCGCACGCAAU